RNAcentral lists this long non-coding RNA (244 nucleotides) under Numida meleagris (helmeted guineafowl). RNAcentral describes it as "lncRNA (ENSNMEG00000013920.1)". Lineage: Eukaryota; Metazoa; Chordata; Aves; Galliformes; Numididae. The record is from RNAcentral.
AGCAGCUUCAAGCUUGAAAAUGUCUUGGGCCUUAUAUGCCUGGCUUCCCGCUGAAGAGCUGAAGCAGAGUGGAAGGUGCUGUGACAUGACCAGCAGUGAGAAGAUGGUGCAGUGGCACCAGAGGAAAAUCAAAUGAAAAGUGUUCACCUCGGCAGCUACUGAGAAUGCUGGAGAAAAAAAAGCAGAAUUUGGGACUGUUAUUAAGGUAUGCUUUGAAAGGUGGAUGUUUUGCCUGCUGCAGGGC